This 1462-nucleotide ribosomal RNA is filed under the name uncultured Bordetella sp. Its description in RNAcentral is "partial 16S-23S ribosomal RNA intergenic spacer". It matches the Rfam family "Bacterial small subunit ribosomal RNA". Lineage: Bacteria; Pseudomonadati; Pseudomonadota; Betaproteobacteria; Burkholderiales; Alcaligenaceae. The record is from RNAcentral.
GGUCUGAUUCUGGUUCGAUUUGUAUCACGCAUGGACGUUUUACAUGCAAGUCGAACGGCAGCACGGACUUCGGUCUGGCGGCGCAGUGGCUAACGGUGAUAAUGUAUCGGAACGUGCCUAGUAGCGGGGAUAACUACGCGAAAGGUAGCUAAUACCGCAUGCCCUUCGGGGAAAGCGGGGACCUUCACUGCACUAUUAGAGUGUGGCCGAUACCGGAUUAGCGAGAAGGGUGGGUAACGCUCACCAAGGCGACGAUCCGUAGCUGGUUUGAGUGGAGACGACCAGCCACACUGGGACUGAGACACGCCCCAGACUCUACGAGGCAGUGGGAAUUUUGGACAAUGGGGGAACCCUGGAUCCAGCCAUCCCGCGUGCGAUGAAGGCUCGGGUUGUAAAGCACUUUUGGCAGGAAAGAACGGCACGAUAAUACCCUCGUGCAAACUGACGGCACCGUGAAUAAAGAAUUUGGUUAAUCACGCCAGCACAAGUAAUACGUAGGGUGCAAGCGUUAACGGAAUUACUGGGCGUAAAAAGCGGCAGGCGGUUCGGAAAGAAAGAUGGGAAAUCCCGAGCUUAACUUUGGAACUGCAUUUUUAACUACCGAGCUAGAGUGUGUCAGAGGGAGGUGAAUUCCGCGUAGCAGGAAACGGCGUAGAUAUGUGAGGAACGACCAUGGCGAAGGCAGCCUCCUGGGAUAACACCGACGCUCAUGCACGAAAUGGGAGUAAACAGGAUUAGAUAAUUCUUAGUAGUUCCACGUCUCGCAAAUGAUGUCAACUAGCUGUUGGGGCCUCGGGCCUGGUAGCGCAGCUAAUCGCGUGAAGUUGACCGCCGUUUGGGGAGUACGGUCAAAGAUUAAACUCAAAGGAAUUGACGGGGACCCGCACAAGCGGUGGAUGAUGAUUAAUUCGAUGCAACGCGAAAACCUUACCUACCCUUGACAUGUCUGGAAUCCCGAAGAUUUGGGAGUGGUUUGCAAGAGAACCGGAACACAGGUGUUGCAUGGCUGUCGUCAGCUCGUGUUUAGAUGUUGGCGUUAAGUCCUGCAACGGAGCAAGCAGUAACCCUUGUCAUUAGUUACGCUUAAAAGGGCACUUAAUGAGACUGCUGGUGAGACAACCGGAGUAGCGUGAUGACGUCAAGUCCUCAUGGCCCUAUGGUAGGGGCUUCACACGUCAUACAAUGGUCGGGACAGAGGGUCGCCAACCUCGUGAGGGGAGCUUGCCAAUCUCAGAAACCCGAUCGUAAACCGGGAUCGGCAGUCUGCAACUCGACUGCGUGAAGUCGGAACGCUGUAAUCGCGGGAUCAGCAUGUUCAGGUGCAGAAUACGUUCCUGGUCGUGUUGUUACACUCCCGCCCGUCACACCAUGGGCGGGGUUUACCAGAAGUAGUUAUCAAACUGUAAGGAGGGCGAUUACCACGCAGUAGGAUUCAUGACUGGGGUAGGGUCGUAACAAGGUA